AGUCGAGGGGUAUUGUUCUUCGGAAUGAGAGACCGGCGCACGGGUGCGUAACGCGUAUGCAAUCUACCUUUCACAGAGGGAUAGCCCAGAGAAAUUUGGAUUAAUACCUCAUAGUAUAUAGAGUUGGCAUCAACAUUAUAUUAAAGUCACAACGGUGAAAGAUGAGCAUGCGUCCCAUUAGCUUGUUGGUAAGGUAACGGCUUACCAAGGCAACGAUGGGUAGGGGUCCUGAGAGGGAGAUCCCCCACACUGGUACUGAGACACGGACCAGACUCCUACGGGAGGCAGCAGUGAGGAAUAUUGGACAAUGGGCGCAAGCCUGAUCCAGCCAUGCCGCGUGCAGGAUGACGGUCCUAUGGAUUGUAAACUGCUUUUGCACAGGAAGAAACACUCGGACGUGUCCGAGCUUGACGGUACUGUGAGAAUAAGGAUCGGCUAACUCCGUGCCAGCAGCCGCGGUAAUACGGAGGAUCCAAGCGUUAUCCGGAAUCAUUGGGUUUAAAGGGUCCGUAGGCGGUUUGGUAAGUCAGUGGUGAAGGCCCAUCGCUCAACGGUGGAACGGCCAUUGAUACUGCUAGACUUGAAUUAUUAGGAAGUAACUAGAAUAUGUAGUGUAGCGGUGAAAUGCUUAGAGAUUACAUGGAAUACCAAUUGCGAAGGCAGGUUACUACUAAUGGAUUGACGCUGAUGGACGAAAGCGUGGGUAGCGAACAGGAUUAGAUACCCUGGUAGUCCACG
Molecule: ribosomal RNA, 738 nt
Filed under: uncultured Bacteroidota bacterium
Lineage: Bacteria; Pseudomonadati; Bacteroidota
Description: bacterial SSU rRNA
Rfam family: Bacterial small subunit ribosomal RNA
Source: RNAcentral